GGCUACGAGGACGAACGCUGGCGGCGUGCCUAAUACAUGCAAGUAGAACGACUGAAGAGAGGAGCUUGCUCUUCUUGGAUGAGUUGCGAACGGGUGAGUAACGCGUAGGUAACCUGCCUUGUAGCGGGGGAUAACUAUAGGAAACGAUAGCUAAUACCGCAUAACAAUGGAUGACACAUGUCAUUUAUUUGAAAGGGGCAAUUGCUCCACUACAAGAUGGACCUGCGUUGUAUUAGCUAGUAGGUGAGGUAACGGCUCACCUAGGCGACGAUACAUAGCCGACCUGAGAGGGUGAUCGGCCACACUGGGACUGAGACACGGCCCAGACUCCUACGGGAGGCAGCAGUAGGGAAUCUUCGGCAAUGGGGGCAACCCUGACCGAGCAACGCCGCGUGAGUGAAGAAGGUUUUCGGAUCGUAAAGCUCUGUUGUAAGUCAAGAACGAGUGUAAGAGUGGAAAGUUCACACUGUGACGGUAGCUUACCGGAAAGGGACGGCUAACUACGUG
This 507-nucleotide ribosomal RNA is filed under the name uncultured bacterium. Its description in RNAcentral is "bacterial SSU rRNA". It matches the Rfam family "Bacterial small subunit ribosomal RNA", at positions 26 to 507 of the family's 1533-position model. The record is from RNAcentral.